This 70-nucleotide transfer RNA is filed under the name Ictidomys tridecemlineatus (thirteen-lined ground squirrel). RNAcentral's name for it is "Spermophilus tridecemlineatus (thirteen-lined ground squirrel) tRNA". It matches the Rfam family "tRNA". From Rfam's summary of the family: Transfer RNA (tRNA) molecules are approximately 80 nucleotides in length. The record is from Rfam by way of RNAcentral. Lineage: Eukaryota; Metazoa; Chordata; Mammalia; Rodentia; Sciuridae.
AGUUGUAGCUCAGUGGUAGAGCACUUGCCUCAUACGUGUGAGGUACCGGGUUCGAUUCCUAGCACAACUU